RNAcentral lists this long non-coding RNA (209 nucleotides) under Nicotiana benthamiana. Its description in RNAcentral is "long non-coding RNA (NBEN_LNC011871)". The record is from RNAcentral. Lineage: Eukaryota; Viridiplantae; Streptophyta; Magnoliopsida; Solanales; Solanaceae.
GGCAUGUUUAAAAAUCAUUUUGACUAAAGUAAAUAUGCAUUAUCUAAAAUUAUUUUGCUCUAAAUUAAAUAUGCAUGAUUUGUUAAAAAUAUUUUUAUGAGAGAAGCCAAGUCUUAUGUUUAAGUUGUCGGAUCAAGAUCACAAUUAAAUACCGACUCAUAUAAAACUUAAUCUCGAUCUUUGUCUUGUGCUUGAAUCUCGUUAUAUAU